AUUAGAGUUUGAUCCCGGCUCAGAUUGAACGCUGGCGGCAGGCCUAACACAUGCAAGUCGAGCGGUAGAGAGAAGCUUGCUUCUCUUGAGAGCGGCGGACGGGUGAGUAAUGCCUAGGAAUCUGCCUGGUAGUGGGGGAUAACGUUCGGAAACGGACGCUAAUACCGCAUACGUCCUACGGGAGAAAGCAGGGGACCUUCGGGCCUUGCGCUAUCAGAUGAGCCUAGGUCGGAUUAGCUAGUUGGUGAGGUAAUGGCUCACCAAGGCGACGAUCCGUAACUGGUCUGAGAGGAUGAUCAGUCACACUGGAACUGAGACACGGUCCAGACUCCUACGGGAGGCAGCAGUGGGGAAUAUUGGACAAUGGGCGAAAGCCUGAUCCAGCCAUGCCGCGUGUGUGAAGAAGGUCUUCGGAUUGUAAAGCACUUUAAGUUGGGAGGAAGGGUUGUAGAUUAAUACUCUGCAAUUUUGACGUUACCGACAGAAUAAGCACCGGCUAACUCUGUGCCAGCAGCCGCGGUAAUACAGAGGGUGCAAGCGUUAAUCGGAAUUACUGGGCGUAAAGCGCGCGUAGGUGGUUUGUUAAGUUGGAUGUGAAAUCCCCGGGCUCAACCUGGGAACUGCAUUCAAAACUGACUGACUAGAGUAUGGUAGAGGGUGGUGGAAUUUCCUGUGUAGCGGUGAAAUGCGUAGAUAUAGGAAGGAACACCAGUGGCGAAGGCGACCACCUGGACUAAUACUGACACUGAGGUGCGAAAGCGUGGGGAGCAAACAGGAUUAGAUACCCUGGUAGUCCACGCCGUAAACGAUGUCAACUAGCCGUUGGAAGCCUUGAGCUUUUAGUGGCGCAGCUAACGCAUUAAGUUGACCGCCUGGGGAGUACGGCCGCAAGGUUAAAACUCAAAUGAAUUGACGGGGGCCCGCACAAGCGGUGGAGCAUGUGGUUUAAUUCGAAGCAACGCGAAAAACCUUACCAGGCCUUGACAUCCAAUGAACUUUCUAGAGAUAGAUUGGUGCCUUCGGGAACAUUGAGACAGGUGCUGCAUGGCUGUCGUCAGCUCGUGUCGUGAGAUGUUGGGUUAAGUCCCGUAACGAGCGCAACCCUUGUCCUUAGUUACCAGCACGUUAUGGUGGGCACUCUAAGGAGACUGCCGGUGACAAACCGGAGGAAGGUGGGUAUGACGUCAAGUCAUCAUGGCCCUUACGGCCUGGGCUACACACGUGCUACAAUGGUCGGUACAGAGGGUUGCCAAGCCGCGAGGUGGAGCUAAUCCCAUAAAACCGAUCGUAGUCCGGAUCGCAGUCUGCAACUCGACUGCGUGAAGUCGGAAUCGCUAGUAAUCGCGAAUCAGAAUGUCGCGGUGAAUACGUUCCCGGGCCUUGUACACACCGCCCGUCACACCAUGGGAGUGGGUUGCACCAGAAGUAGCUAGUCUAACCUUCGGGAGGACGGUUACCACGGUGUGAUUCAUGACUGGGGUGAAGUCGUAACAAGGUACCCAAU
This 1504-nucleotide ribosomal RNA is filed under the name bacterium B29-1. Its description in RNAcentral is "bacterial SSU rRNA". It matches the Rfam family "Bacterial small subunit ribosomal RNA". The record is from RNAcentral.